Oncorhynchus tshawytscha (Chinook salmon) is the source of this 1466-nucleotide long non-coding RNA. RefSeq lists it as uncharacterized. NCBI's taxonomy places the organism in Eukaryota, Metazoa, Chordata, Actinopteri, Salmoniformes, Salmonidae. The transcript is spliced from 3 exons. The record is from RefSeq and is a predicted model, not a curated record.
CUGGACACAAUCCACUGGCUGGACACAGAGGAAGGAACACCAGGACGGUACGACAGGAGAGGAGAGUAGAGGAGAGAAAAGAAAAGAAAGAAGGAGAGAGAGACACAGAUAGGUAAGAUAGGGACUGGAGGAGAGGACAGCAGCCCAGGUGGGAAGGAAGGAAGGAAGGAAGAAAGGGGAGAGAGAGGUUGAUGACUGCUACAGGAAUGUUGGGGUCUGGUUGAGGGCCUGGUUGAGGGCCUGGUUGAGGGACUGGUUGAGGUGUGUUGGCUGUGUCACUGUCAGUGGGAAUUUAGUUUGGAGUUAUGGCCACCAGGUGUGGCUGAGUUAUGUUGUGUUUGUGGAGAUCUGUUGGCUGUGAGGAACUGUUGCUGGGCAGCUUUUCCAGUUAACCUUUUUUUUAUUUCAAUACAUUGAAAGUACUUUUCUAGAAGUUCUGCGAAUUGAUAAAAGUGAAAGGCUCCUGAUUGUUCAAUAGGUGAUUCUGAUGUUUGCUACAAGUAGAUUGUGACGAAUUGACUAUAAUAUUACUGUUGUGACCAAGGAAUCUUUUAAUCUCUGUAAAAACCUAAAUACUCAUAAUCAAAUAUCUUAGAGUCACAUGUUCUGUGCUCUCUCUCACCAUCAAAUCCCCCUGAUUUGCUGUACCAUGUGAGCUGAGAGUGGGGUGGGGGACAGGGGACAGGGGGACAGGGAGACAGGGAGACAGGCGGAGCAGCAGGUGUUGGAACAGUUGUUAGGUAAUGUCUAUCUGUGGUUUAUGACGUUGGGACAACGACACUCUGGACCACUAGCAGGAUGAGGAGCAGAAAGGAGAGGGGUAUUCUGCGGAGAGGGGAUGAGAAGGGGGUGCAAUCUAGAGGCCUGUUUGCUGAGGUGUCACACGGUUCCUGUCUUUGAUCAACAGUGUGGUGUCAGGAAAGUGAGGACCAUGUUAGCUGUUGGUUUGCCUUUGUCUUGUUAGAUUCUUUAAGGUUCCUAGAAUGCUUUUAGGUUCUUAGAAUGCUUUUAGGUUCUUAGAAUGCUUUUAGGUUCCUAGAAUGCUUUUAGGUUCCCAAAAUUCAUUGCAGAGAAGGGAAAGAUGUAGUAAGGUAGGAUUUAAAAUGUUCAGUGGAGCCAGCUUUCUGGAUGGAGUUUAGUAGAGAGUGCAACAAGGAUAGACUGUCUGAAUGACCUAUAUCCACACUACGAUGGAGACAUGGAAGACUCUGGGAUGUGGAUGAGACCAUAAAUCGCAGUAAAGCCGUGGGCCGGGCCUGUCAGGGAGGACAUCCUGUCGUUGCCUCCUGUGAAGACAUGCUUCCUUAUAUCCCCAUAUGAAUACUGCCGUUAUGGAAUGAACAAGAGGACGAUGUGGGACUCUGACAUCAUGGAUCCAAAAUAUCAUCUCCACUACCCUCCUGUCUGUCUCUCUUUCUUCCUCUCCUCGCCCCUGUCCUAUCUCCUUCCUCCUCUCUUUCUUUCUU